GACGAACGCUGGCGGCGUGCUUAACACAUGCAAGUCGAACGGUAAGGCCCUUCGGGUACACGAGUGGCGAACGGGUGAGUAACACGUGGGUGAUCUGCCCUGCACUUCGGGAUAAGCCUGGGAAACUGGGUCUAAUACCGGAUAGGACCCUGGGAUGCAUGUCCUGGGGUGGAAAGCUUUUGCGGUGUGGGAUGGGCCCGCGGCCUAUCAGCUUGUUGGUGGGGUGAUGGCCUACCAAGGCGACGACGGGGAGCCGGCCUGAGAGGGUGACCGGCCACACUGGGACUGAGAUACGGCCCAGACUCCUACGGGAGGCAGCAGUGGGGAAUAUUGCACAAUGGGCGCAAGCCUGAUGCAGCGACGCCGCGUGAGGGAUGACGACCUUCGGGUUGUAAACCUCUUUCAGCACCGACGAAGCGCAAGUGACGGUAGGUGCAGAAGAAGGACCGGCCAACUACGUGCCAGCCGCCGCCGUAA
This 477-nucleotide ribosomal RNA is filed under the name uncultured bacterium. RNAcentral describes it as "partial 16S ribosomal RNA". It matches the Rfam family "Bacterial small subunit ribosomal RNA", at positions 28 to 523 of the family's 1533-position model. The record is from RNAcentral.